AUGAACGCUGGCGGCGUGCCUAAUACAUGCAAGUCGAGCGAACAGAUGAGGAGCUUGCUCCUCUGACGUUAGCGGCGGACGGGUGAGUAACACGUGGAUAACCUACCUAUAAGACUGGGAUAACUUCGGGAAACCGGAGCUAAUACCGGAUAAUAUAUUGAACCGCAUGGUUCAAUAGUGAAAGACGGUUUUGCUGUCACUUAUAGAUGGAUCCGCGCCGCAUUAGCUAGUUGGUAAGGUAACGGCUUACCAAGGCAACGAUGCGUAGCCGACCUGAGAGGGUGAUCGGCCACACUGGAACUGAGACACGGUCCAGACUCCUACGGGAGGCAGCAGUAGGGAAUCUUCCGCAAUGGGCGAAAGCCUGACGGAGCAACGCCGCGUGAGUGAUGAAGGUCUUCGGAUCGUAAAACUCUGUUAUUAGGGAAGAACAAAUGUGUAAGUAACUAUGCACGUCUUGACGGUACCUGAUCAGAAAGCCACGGCUAACUACGUG
This 496-nucleotide ribosomal RNA is filed under the name uncultured bacterium. RNAcentral describes it as "partial 16S ribosomal RNA". It matches the Rfam family "Bacterial small subunit ribosomal RNA", at positions 29 to 507 of the family's 1533-position model. The record is from RNAcentral.